CCUGGGAACUGCGUUNUGAACUGGGUGACUAGAGUGUGUCAGAGGGAGGUAGAAUUCCACGUGUAGCAGUGAAAUGCGUAGAGAUGUGGAGGAAUACCGAUGGCGAAGGCAGCCUCCUGGGAUAACACUGACGUUCAUGCCCGAAAGCGUGGGUAGCAANCAGGAUUAGAUACCCUGGUAGUCCACGCCCUAAACGAUGUCGAUUAGCUGUUGGGCAGCAUGACUGCUUAGUAGCGAAGCUAACGCGUGAAAUCGACCGCCUGGGGAGUACGGUCGCAAGAUUAAAACUCAAAGGAAUUGACGGGGACCCGCACAAGCGGUGGAUGAUGUGGAUUAAUUCGAUGCAACGCGAAGAACCUUACCUGGUCUUGACAUGUGCGGAACCCUCCAGAGACGGAGGGGUGCCUUCGGGAGCCGUAACACAGGUGCUGCAUGGCUGUCGUCAGCUCGUGUCGUGAGAUGUUNGGUUAAGUCCCGCAACGAGCGCAACCCUUGUCAUUAGUUGCCAUCAUUAAGUUGGGCACUCUAAUGAGACUGCCGGUGACAAGCCGGAGGAAGGUGGGGAUGACGUCAAGUCCUCAUGGCCCUUAUGACCAGGGCUUCACACGUCAUACAAUGGUCGGUACAGAGGGUAGCCAAGCCGCGAGGUGGAGCCAAUCUCACAAAACCGAUCGUAGUCCGGAUUGCACUCUGCAACUCGAGUGCAUGAAGUCGGAAUCGCUAGUAAUCGCAGGUCAGCAUACUGCGGUGAAUACGUUCCCGGGUCUUGUACACACCGCCCGUCACACCAUGGGAGUGGGGGAUACCAGAAGUAGGUAGGGUAACCGCAAGGAGCCCGCUUACCACGG
Molecule: ribosomal RNA, 848 nt
Filed under: uncultured bacterium
Lineage: Bacteria
Description: bacterial SSU rRNA
Rfam family: Bacterial small subunit ribosomal RNA
Source: RNAcentral